AAGACUUUAAGUUAACUAAACUAGACGCCUUCAAAGCAUCCAAUGGUCUGUCACCAAGUCUUG
Molecule: transfer RNA, 63 nt
Filed under: Paraleonnates uschakovi
Lineage: Eukaryota; Metazoa; Annelida; Polychaeta; Phyllodocida; Nereididae
Description: tRNA-Trp
Source: RNAcentral